This 866-nucleotide long non-coding RNA is filed under the name Mytilus galloprovincialis (Mediterranean mussel). Lineage: Eukaryota; Metazoa; Mollusca; Bivalvia; Mytilida; Mytilidae. The record is from RNAcentral.
AUGAUUGGAACUUUGAUAGCUUUGCUGAUUUUACUUUCUAUAUUCAAAAUUUACACAACGAGAGUAUUGUAAGUAGAACUUUGCUAGUUUCAAAAAUUCACGAAGAACUUAUGACGUCUGAAAGGGUGUUACUUUUACGACAGAAAUGGGUUAUGGAAAAUCAUCAAUUAUUUCAAAUUUAGUUUGUGCUGAACAGUCAUCAGAUUGGUAUGUUAUACGAAAGAAUACUUCUGCAGAUAUGACUCAAUCCGAUCCACAGAGGCUGCAUAUUUCAUUCGUAAUAUUAUUAGUGCCAUCUUAAACCAAUAUACAGAGUUAGGCAAUGCAAUUUUGUCCGACGAUAUUGCGAUUGGAAUUUUGUAUGGAUCGAGAUGUGCAGAUGAUCCCAUAAUGUGUUUGGAAGUAGCUAUCCUCAAUCCUAUGCGAAAUAAAUGGCAAAAUUACCAGUUCAUAAUUGUAAUUGAUGCUCUUGAUGAAUGUAACAGCGACAACAACAAAAAUAUUUUACAGAUGAUUUUCAAACAGAUAGAUAAUUUUCCGCCAAACAUAAAGUUCAUAUUUACCUCAAGAGAUAUAGAGCAUGUUUUGAGUAAAUUUAAUGAUUUAAGUAUCAUUCAGCUAAACAUGUUUCACACAGAAAAUAAAAUUGACAUUACGCAGUACAUUGAACAAACAAGUCAUCUUACAAAAUCACAAAAAAACUCGCCUGACAAAUGUUGCUAGAGGAAAUUUCCUGCAUGUUAAACUUUUCUUGCAAACUUGUAAACUAUCUACAAAUUCUGACUUUAGAAAUAUACCAACUUCACUAGAAAAAAUGUAUCAGAUGAAUUUUGAAAGAGUGUUUGACAAUCAAUCUAGUUUAUUUG